Long non-coding RNA from Salvelinus fontinalis (brook trout), 4909 nucleotides. RefSeq lists it as uncharacterized. The record is from RefSeq and is a predicted model, not a curated record. NCBI's taxonomy places the organism in Eukaryota, Metazoa, Chordata, Actinopteri, Salmoniformes, Salmonidae. The transcript has 4 exons.
GUCAUAUGAUCAUUAAAGAGUCCUACGGUGUCCGUAGAGGACAUAAACAGACCGCGAGCUCACCUGUCUUUUCUGUAGCCAGAUACAUGGCACAGGCACGUAAUACUGUUUCUUGCUGCUCUGGACACGCAUCUUAAACACGCAAACACACACACACACACACACACACACACAUAUAUAUAUAUAUAAGUAUUAGCUAGUUGUCCACAAGAGUUGUUCCACGACUUAUUGGGUAAGUUUGCAUCCCUGUUAAUGUCUCUCGGAGAUUAAACAAAUAAAUAUUUAACCUUUAUUUAACUAGGCAAGUCAGUUAAGAACAAAUUCUUAAUUACAUUGAUGGGCUGUACUGUAGUAAUGCACAGGGAACAGACUACAGUACUAUUGUCUCCUGAACCAAUCUACCAUUAAGUACCAUCAUCACCAAUUCAGACUGGUUUUCUGGCCAGAACAACAUUGGUGCAUUAUACUAUGAUUCUGGACGGAUGUCAUUCAUUUAUUGAGCAAGUUCUCUAAAGCACACAACUGCUGCUCAACCAAACAGACAACAAUCUUUAUCUGAGUUGAGUGAACCUUUUUCACUUUUACUGCUCACUUUUCCAGAGAAAGGCUCAAACACAGGGAUAGCUUUUUGUGUUUUAUUUAACUAGGCAAGUCAGUUAAGAACAACUUAUUUACAAUGACAGCCUAAGAACAGUGAGUUAACUGCCUUGUUCAGUGGCAGAACAACAGAUUUUUACCUUGACAGCUCAGGGAUUUGAUCCAGCAACCUUUCAGUUACUGGCCAAACGCUCUAACCACUGGGCUACCUGCAGCCUGCAGUUUGUAUGUUUUACACGGACUGUUUAAAUAAUGAACCUGGAAUGUCUUGCCAGUCAGGUACUGUGUUUUAUGUUUGUCCUAGAUGUACUGUAAAAGGUCCAGACCCUCCCUGUGCUGUGUGAAUACACAGGUUGGCAUUUUUUGGGAUGACUUAUGUACUGGAGGCAGCUCUGCAGGGUAGUCACUAGCUGACACAGCCACAAUGUCAUAAAAUCAGAUUUUAAACCUUAACUUAACCGAACUGCUAACCUUUUGCUUAACCUUAGCGUAUUUUUGUUUUCAUGAAUUUUUUACAAUGUAUAGCCAAUUUUGACUUUGUCGCUGGCCCAUUAGUAGAAAUCGCUCAGCUCUGCCUCCAGGACAAGAUACAUCCCAAUAAACGUAAACUUCCUGCGUGCAUGUGACCUAACAGUCAGUAGACUUUUCUUCCACCAGCGAUAAAGGCACUGGCUUUGCGCCAUCCUCAUGGGGCCCGGGAUCAGCAAGCCGCACCAGGGAGGCUCUACUCCAACUACCAGCGACAGCAUGGAGUACAGACUCCUGCUCCAGGCCUCUGUGCUGCCUAAGGCCCUCUCUGUGACCUCAUGUGCAUCACAGCCCUCCUCCUGCCAGUCCCUCCAGCCCUCCAGGCUAACAUCCACCACAUCCUCCCUCUCCCCCACCGCCUCCUCCUCCCUCACCUCUCCACUCAUAAGCACAGAGAACCAAUUAUUAAAGAGGGGUUCACUCCUCUUCACUCAUUCCUCCUCUCUUCCCUCUCCCCUCUGUCCUUUGUCCUCUUCAUCCCUGCCACCCUCUAGUGGUGUCCUGCCUCCUACUGGCCUUCCUCCUCCUCCUGUUCUGGAUGAAUAAUGGGAGGAUGAGGAAGGCAGUCUGCCUGUAAGGACGUGCUGUCUUACUCUGAAGAGAUUUGUGUGGUAUGUGGCCCGGCCCCAUAAGCCCAUCCCUUCUUUCAGUCAGUUUUUUUUGUGGUGUAGUUUAUCCAAGGUCCAUUCCAACACAGUCAAUCUUUGAAAUAAAAUACAUUUGUGAUGCUCAAUUUAUUGGUUAAGUGAUUCUGAGUCAAUAUGUUCCUCUGACAAUGUAAGUUAAUGGCAGUAUACAGAAUGUGUUCUCCUUCUUCCUCAUGACAUGUCAGGAUUCUAACUAGGACAGCCUCAUGGCUGAGGAGAUUGAGUUGUCCACAGAGAUGCAUGUUCUGGACAUGGUAUUGGAUGAAGAGGAGCUGGACCAAAACAUGUCAAUUGGGGAACAGGAGUUUGGCUUAUUAUUACAUGCCUUAUUAUUUAUUUUACUGCUGCUCUUAAAUUUUUUGUUACUUUUAUUUAUUUAUUUUUCUUAACUUCAUUGUUGGUUAAGGGCUUGUAAGUAAGCGUUUCACUGUUGUAUUGGUGCAAGUGAUCAUUCUUAUUUUUUUGAUUUGAUACCUGAUUAGUAAUAUUUGUAACAUUGCUGCCCCCUUGUGAUAAUAAUCUGAAAUACAGAUGUCACUAAAGUUGCAACAAAACUGCAUCCUAUAUACAUGGCACUGCAAUCGCUACCUUUGGUUGUUUGAGUUUACAAUUUCGUGUGCAUUCCCUAUUUCCUUCCCACUCAGAGACAUCUCAGAGUGUGCAGGAAGUGAUCUUUGACACUGAUGAUCAUUAUAGGUGUGGCUGCUGGGGUGUUGGUCAUAGUCAUUAUCAUCUUAGUUAACUAAUACCAUAGACGCAAUAACAGGACAUUAGAGAUGGAGCUUCGCGAAAGGACAUGAGUUGAUUUCCACAAUACUUGGAACCCCCUUUCGCUAUCCUUAAAUCCUCCUUAGUUUCUAAAAAGCUCUUUCAUAGGUUAGAAAUCAACACUCUCCAGAUAGGCCUCCUCCACAAGACUCAACUCUGUCAGCACAGACCCCAGACGACAGAAUGAAGACUGUACACUCCUCAGACUAGACAGUGAAAUUAAAAAAAGCCUAAUGUCCCUUGAGGACCAUCCCAUCUACAAAGCCAGUCAAUCCACCCUCGGUGGGGGACGGUUCGAGAGGGUGAUUUGGACUACCUAGGCCGCCCCGUCCUGUACCAAUCUAGCUGGUGACUCUGGCCUUCCUUCCUCGUCCCCAGGACCAGGAUGGCAAUGUGUGGCCCACAGACAUCCCCCCAAUGCUCAGUGACCUGGGUGGCCAGAGGGAGGGUGUGACCGAAGGGGACGACUGGGUCCACAGACAGGACGUGCUGGAGGUUGAUGAGGCUGACUGUGACACCAGUUCUUACCAGAUCUCAGCGGCACUCUUCAACCACAGCAAUGGGUUUCUGCAGCCCAAACCACACUCCAACACCAUCCUCCUACACCCGAGGACAGAACAUCUAGACAGGGGUGAAAGGAGUUGGUUGAAAAGGGAACUGCCCUCAGCUCCACUCUAACCCCAUGGUCAUGGUGGCCUGCUACUCACUCCUGUGAACUGAACUUGGAUACAGUUGGACUGAAGUGAGUGUUUGGCAACCUCAUGUUCAUAUUAAUUGCCAUUUUUAGGUUGACUUUGUCCUUUUUUUCCAUCAGCAUGGGCUUCUUGUAUACAGUGCCUUCAGAAAGUAUUCACACCACUUGAUUUGUUGUGUUACAGCGUUAUUACAAAUGGAUUAAAUGUAGAUUUUUUUUGUCACUGGCCUACAGACAAUAUCCCAUGUCAAAGUAGAAUUAUGUUUUUUGAUUACAUUUUUUUAAUGAAAAGCUUAAAUGUCUUGAGUGAAAAAGUUUUCAACCCCUUGUUAUGGCAAGCCUAAAUAAGUUCAGGACAAAAAAAUCUGCUUAACAAGUCACAUACGUUGCAUGGACUCUGUGUGUAACACUGUGGUUUUUGAAUGACUACCUCAUGCCAGUACCCCACACAAUUAUAUGUAAGGUUCCUCAGUCUAGCAGUGAAUUUCAAACACAGAUUCAACCAUAAAUACCAGGGAGAUUUUCAAAUGCCUCUCAAAGGGCAUAAAUAUAAAAUGUCUUGUUCAUUCACCCUCUAAAUACAUGUCUCAAGGCUUAAAAAUCCUUCUCUAACCUGUCUCUUUAACAAGUGACAUCAAUAAGGGAUCAUAGCUUUCAUCUGUAUUCACCUGGUCAUUCUGUCAUGUUCUAUAGUUGCCAUGGUGCCCUAGCUUCACCAUUCCAGGUGAAGCUGGUUGAGAGAAUGCCAAGAGUGUGCAAACCUGUCAAGGCAAAGGGCGGCUACUUUGAAGAAUCUCAAAUAUAAAACAUUUUGAUUUAACACUUUUUUGGUUACUACAUGAUUGCAUAUGUGUUAUUUCAUAGUUUUGAUGUCUCACUAUUAUUCUACAAUGUAGAAAAUAGUAAACCCUGGAAUGAGUAGGCGUGUCAAACUUUUGACUAGUACUGUAUAUCUAGUGUUUUAGGGCCACGAAUUUGCAGAUUUACUGACAGGUUAAAAGUCUUUGGCUUGGCUAACUAGCUAGCUGGCUAAUAUUUUUGUUUAAAAAAUGCAUCUGGACACAUUACCAGCCUUUUUGUUUCUUCUGGCUGCCAAUUCCCGAUCUUCUGAGAACAAUUUUCAGGAGUCGCCUGAAACGUGAGAGGAAUGGGAGAUGCGGGAAUAUAUUGCUAAGAGAGAGCUCUCAUAGUGAGGACUGGCUACUAUUGUGAACUUUGUGUGGUGAACUUUCUGGUGUCCAGAGCUGCUGAGGCAUCACCCAAGUGGGUGCUACACAGACUGGAAGAGAAGAAGACCAGUGGCUAUAAGAGUCAGGCUGGUUCCCAGACGUGCCCUCUACAAGAUCAUCAACAGACUCCAUCACCAUCCUCUGACCAGCUCUCUCUGCUCAAGCCAUGAACUGACCCUCUCCAUCUUCAGAGGAUGCAGCUUUCAAAGACUUGGUCUCUAUUGGUUCAUCUGUCAUGAUAUAUUGCGUGUUUUUUUUGUUGCUCUUGAAGCACGGAGAUUCUAUGAAAAGCGCUAUAGAAAUUGUAUAAAUUAUUAUAUUAUGGAAAGAGCAGGUGUUAAUGUUUUGUAUUCUCAGUGUAUUUCAACAACAACAAGGGCUCAAAGUUCAGAGAAUUUAUGUUUAUUCAUAAACAUGUAUGUAUUGAUAAAAGCACAUCCAUUGUA